AGUGAACGCUGGCGGCAGGCCUAACACAUGCAAGUCGAGCGGAUGAAGGGAGAGUGCUCCUGGAUUCAGGGGCGGACGGGUGAGUGAUGCCUAGGAAUCUCCCUAUCUGUGUGGGCUAGCGUCCUGACACGGGCGCUCAUACCCCAUACGCCCAGAGGGAGAAAGGGUGGGAUCUUCGGACCUCACGCUAUCAGAUGAGUCUAGGUCGGAUUAGCUAGUUGGCGGGGUAAAGGCCUACCAAGGCGACGAUCCGUAACUGGUCUGAGAGGAUGAUCAGUCACACUGGAACUGAGACACGGUCCAGACUCCUACGGGAGGCAGCAGUGGGGAAUAUUGGACAAUGGGCGAAAGCCUGAUCCAGCCAUACCGCGUGUGUGAAGAAGGUCUUCGGAUUGUAAAGCACUUUUGGUUGGGAGGAAGGGCAGUAAGUUAAUACCUUGCUGUUUUGACGUUACCCACAGAAUAAGCACCGGCUAACUUCGUG
This 484-nucleotide ribosomal RNA is filed under the name uncultured bacterium. Its description in RNAcentral is "partial 16S ribosomal RNA". It matches the Rfam family "Bacterial small subunit ribosomal RNA", at positions 29 to 507 of the family's 1533-position model. The record is from RNAcentral.